RNAcentral lists this ribosomal RNA (468 nucleotides) under uncultured bacterium. Its description in RNAcentral is "partial 16S ribosomal RNA". It matches the Rfam family "Bacterial small subunit ribosomal RNA", at positions 28 to 507 of the family's 1533-position model. The record is from RNAcentral.
GAUGAACGCUGGCGGCGUGCUUAACACAUGCAAGUCGAACGGUGAAGGCGGAGCUUGCUCUGCUGGCUCAGUGGCGAACGGGUGAGUAACACGUGAGCAAUCUGCCCCUGACUCUGGGAUAAGCGCUGGAAACGGCGCCUAAUACUGGAUACGAGCUGCGAAGGCAUCUUCAGCAGCUGGAAAGAACUUCGGUCAGGGAUGAGCUCGCGGCCUAUCAGCUUGUUGGUGAGGUAACGGCUCACCAAGGGGUCGACGGGUAGCCGGCCUGAGAGGGUGACCGGCCACACUGGGACUGAGACACGGCGCAGACUCCUACGGGAGGCAGCAGUGGGGAAUAUUGCACAAUGGGCGAAAGCCUGAUGCAGCAACGCCGCGUGAGGGACGACGGCCUUCGGGUUGUAAACCUCUUUUAGCAGGGAAGAAGCGAAAGUGACGGUACCUGCAGAAAAAGCGCCGGCUAACUACGUG